AUUGAACGCUGGCGGCAGGCCUAACACAUGCAAGUCGAGCAGAUGAAGGGAGCUUGCUCCUGGAUUCAGCGGCGGACGGGUGAGUAAUGCCUAGGAAUCUGCCUGGUAGUGGGGGAUAACGUCCGGAAACGGGCGCUAAUACCGCAUACGUCCUGAGGGAGAAAGUGGGGGAUCUUCGGACCUCACGCUAUCAGAUGAGCCUACGUCGGAUUAGCUAGUUGGUGGGGUAAAGGCCUACCAAGGCGACGAUCCGUAACUGGUCUGAGAGGAUGAUCAGUCACACUGGAACUGAGACACGGUCCAGACUCCUACGGGAGGCAGCAGUGGGGAAUAUUGGACAAUGGGCGAAAGCCUGAUCCAGCCAUGCCGCGUGUGUGAAGAAGGUCUUCGGAUUGUAAAGCACUUUAAGUUGGGAGGAAGGGCAGUAAGUUAAUACCUUGCUGUUUUGACGUUACCAACAGAAUAAGCACCGGCUAACUUCGUG
This 484-nucleotide ribosomal RNA is filed under the name uncultured bacterium. Its description in RNAcentral is "partial 16S ribosomal RNA". It matches the Rfam family "Bacterial small subunit ribosomal RNA", at positions 30 to 507 of the family's 1533-position model. The record is from RNAcentral.